This 783-nucleotide ribosomal RNA is filed under the name marine metagenome. RNAcentral describes it as "bacterial SSU rRNA". It matches the Rfam family "Bacterial small subunit ribosomal RNA", at positions 8 to 839 of the family's 1533-position model. The record is from RNAcentral.
AGAGUUUGAUCAUGGCUCAGAACGUACGCUGGCGGCACGCCUAACACAUGCAAGUCGAACGAAGUAGCAAUACUUAGUGGCAGACGGGUGAGUAACAUGUAGGUAUCUGCCCUUUGGCCUGGAAUAACACGAGGAAACUUGUGCUAAUACCGGAUAAGUCUUUACGGAGAAAGCUUUACGCACCAUUGGAUGAGCCUGCACUUGAUUAGUUUGUUGGUAGGGUAAUGGCCUACCAAGACUUUGAUCAAUAGCUGAUUUGAGAGGAUGAUCAGCCACAUUGGGACUGAGACACGGCCCAAACUCCUACGGGAGGCAGCAGUGGGGAAUCUUGCACAAUGGAGGAAACUCUGAUGCAGCGAUGCCGCGUGAGUGAAGAAGGCCUUUGGGUUGUAAAGCUCUUUCGUCGGGGAAGAAAAUGACUGUACCCGAAUAAGAAGGUCCGGCUAACUUCGUGCCAGCAGCCGCGGUAAUACGAAGGGACCUAGCGUAGUUCGGAAUUACUGGGCUUAAAGAGUUCGUAGGUUGUUGAAAAAGUUGGUGGUGAAAUCCCAGAGCUUAACUCUGGAACUGCCAUCAAAACUUUUCAGCUAGAGUUUGAUAGAGGAAAGCAGAAUUUCUAGUGUAGAGGUGAAAUUCGUAGAUAUUAGAAAGAAUACCAAUUGCGAAGGCAGCUUUCUGGAUCAUUACUGACACUGAGGAACGAAAGCAUGGGUAGCGAAGAGGAUUAGAUACCCUCGUAGUCCAUGCCGUAAACGAUGUGUGUUAGACGUUGGAAAUUUAUUU